AUGGUACAUCUUGGUGGAGCCUGGUUGGACAUUGUAAGGUGCAUGGUAUGCCUCUUGCAUAAUCUCGUAUAUGAGAUUAUCCACAUCUGACACACAUAUCCUAGAGCCUUGCAUAAGAGCAUCAUCUAUAUCAAACCCAAAUUCACACUUUUCUCCUUGCUGCGCCCUUUCUAAAAUUCUCAUUAAUUGUGGGUCUCUGUGUUGAGCAACUCUAAUCCUGUCCCGCAGUUCUGUCCUUACUCUAAAAGAUGCCAAUAGUGCACCCUCAUCUGAUAUAUCCAAGAUCAGACCCUGAUUCAUCAACUCAUAUAUAUCCUAAACCAAUGAUCUCCUUUUCGCUGAUAUAUGCGCCAAGCUGCCAGAAGAUUUUCUGCUCAAGAC
RNAcentral lists this unclassified non-coding RNA (381 nucleotides) under Hevea brasiliensis (rubber tree). The record is from RNAcentral. Lineage: Eukaryota; Viridiplantae; Streptophyta; Magnoliopsida; Malpighiales; Euphorbiaceae.